UAAGAAUCGCAGAAGCAGAAAUAGUUCAAGAAGACCAUCAGCUGAAACAGUUUUUGCUAGCUUUGGAGGAAGAAGUGAGACAUCCCAAAAUACUUUGCUCCUCUCUACAGGCCCGUGCCACACACAUCCAAAGCAUGAUGAAAGCGGGGCUGAGUGCAAAACCAUGAAAUCUCCAAAUGUG
This is a long non-coding RNA of Austrofundulus limnaeus, 181 nucleotides long. RefSeq lists it as uncharacterized. NCBI's taxonomy places the organism in Eukaryota, Metazoa, Chordata, Actinopteri, Cyprinodontiformes, Rivulidae. The record is from RefSeq and is a predicted model, not a curated record. The transcript has 3 exons.